UGCGCUAUGCGAGGGGAGGGGGAAAGGAACCUUUAAUAGAAGCUGCUUCAGUGGACAUUGACCAGGGCUAGCGAGUACGAACACAGCGGCUGAAACGCACGUUCAGCUCGUGGUUCAACAUAAGAGUUCAAACGGACGCUGAGCGACGACGAACCUGCGCUGAAAAACAAGCGAUCAGGUUGCGCGUGAACAAGACGGACAGGUUCCGCACCAGGGCAUGGAGUCUCAGCGUAUCGGAAGAGCUCCUCAUGUCCCCGAGCCAUGCCACAGAAACCCCCCAAAACGAGUUAAACAUAUUAGCGACAUCCGUCAAGUAAAACUGGACAGAGUUUUUUUCCCCGAAUGAUGUAGGUGGGACUUAAAUACUACACAAGUGUAGCCUAGUUUUAAAACCCAUACCACAGUGACGACUAUAUGAUGGGAGCAGCCCACUACAAAGGGGGCUGGGGUUUAAUAAGUUUCAGCUGUGUUCAGGUCAGAAUGGCGGCGGGGGGAGGGGGGGGGUAUGGAAGCUUUUCCACGCGGAUUCCACUAGAAGAUGCUUAAAACAUUUCAAAUAACGCCACGUAAAGAGGCUUGGAGCGUGUAGGCUGCGCACACGCAAGGCGGGAGGAAGAGAGACACAUCCCCGCCAAGUAGCUGAAGCAGGACUAGUCUUAACAAGGCUGCGCACACAAUCACGGGAGAACGAGCAGGCGCCAGUCUGCGGGGAAGGGGAGAGAGGCAGGAGGGACUCAGAGUGAGAGGAGCUGGGAUGGAAAGACGAACCUGCGAGAUAAGCCCAGAUCCUUUAGGCGGACACUGAUCAAAGCAGAUGAAGCGCUACGCCUCCUGCGGGGACUGAGAGCAUAAGGCAGACAAAGCCCUGCGCGGGAAGGAGGAAAGCUCUGCCUGUAAACGGCAGCGGGACUGAGCCCAUCAUACUCCAGUCAACCGACAUCAAAUAUACUGGAGCGUCCAUGUCGCCUAUAGCGCACUGCCAGGCAUGCUCCAGUCGCUUUUCGCGCGUUCCAGAGAAGUUAGAGAGAGAGAGUGUGUGUGUGUGUGCGUGUGUGUGUAUGUGCGAGAGAGAAAGUGUGUGUGUGUGUGUGUGUGUGUGUGUGAGUGAGAGAGAGAGAGAGAGAGAGAGAGAGAGAGAGAGAAAGAGAAAGUGUGUGAAGGGGGGGGGGGGGGUGACCGAUGACUGAUCUAUGCUUAAAAAGAAUAUCAAACAUGCAAAGUAAUGGAUCCCGUUUUAUCCCAACAUUUACUUUGUGUGUUUAAAUGUCAUGAUCCAGAAAAUCGCCGUGAAACGUUUCUGAGUCACGGGCACGUCUUUACGGACACAGUGACCGACUGGCCGCUCGUGCGCAUUUAGCGUGUGGGAAUGCUCAGCGCAGAAUCCUCUUCAUGCUUCACGUUUUCCCUCUGUCUCUCUCUCUCUCUCUCCUUUAUGCACCUCUGUUUCACCACCUUGUUUUUUCUCUGCAGCGCAUGAUGUAUUUGCAUUUCAUACACUUCUCUUUCAGCCAUAGCCAGACAAUACCUUCCUCUCAAAUGAAAGUAUGUUAAAUCACAGCCAAAUUUCCACCGAAGUUGUCUGAAUGUCAUGUAGGCCAAAUGAUCCAAAAGUUCCAGCCACCGACCUCGCCUUCGUACUUUUAAUUUCCCAGUGAUUUACUUUCGUUAUUAAACUAUUUGGAGCUGUGUGUCCCGCUGGAGAUUGUUUCACGUGCAGCAAAAACAAUUAUUUAAAGAAAGUGCACAACUUCUUCCAGCUUGUCAUUCUUUCUUUUCAAAUACAGUGAGAGACACGUGAGAAUCAUACCAACAGGCUGCUCAAUAUGUACAUAAAGUUAUCUAGUUCAUACAAAGAUAAACGAAAAGAGAAAUGCAAAGACUCAGGUUACUUUUUGUAGUGUGUGAAUUGUUGGAUGGAUGGAUUUAUCAGCUUAUUAAAAGCAGCCUAGCCAGCUUUCUCAUGUCUCUACUUUA
This is a long non-coding RNA of Pygocentrus nattereri (red-bellied piranha), 1974 nucleotides long. RefSeq lists it as uncharacterized. The record is from RefSeq and is a predicted model, not a curated record. Lineage: Eukaryota; Metazoa; Chordata; Actinopteri; Characiformes; Serrasalmidae. The transcript is spliced from 2 exons.